AUGGGCAAAAAAUAACAUGAGCUUUUUGGCGUUGUUCAGAUCUGUAUUUAAAAAUUGCUCUAAGAUAUGUAACUUCUAGGUUUUCCUUUAAGACCAUAUAUGUAAUAUAAAAUAACCAAAAUAUCAAACUUUCUCCUCACCAAGUUGAAACUCUCAGCAAACUAAAACCCUCUUCUUUUUAUUUUUUUUAUUUUAAAGAGAAUAAAAAUAAUAAAAAACCAUUAGAAACCAUACAGAAUUUCAAAAAACAAGAUGGCAGGAAUUCACCAAUGGCUGUUAUAUUGCAUACUGUUGUCUUCAAAGUAGUUGUUCAGAUCGCCAGAUAUAAGCAUGCAAAAUUGGUCCAAAAAUUAAGCAUUAGCUGUUCCUUUCAAUAAAUUAAGAGAAAUCAGUAGGACAAUGAUCUUAGCUACUUUGUAUAUAUAUAUUUUCCCUUUUUUUUUUCUUUCUUUUCUCCUUUCCCUCUUCCCAAUUGUUCUUUCUUUUUGAGCAAUUUUUUCCCUUUCACAAUAUCUACUGUGCCUUUCAGAUUUUAUUUACUCUUUCAGGUUCUUACACUAGGGAGACAAUAUGAUGUUUACACAUGCGGGUCUGAUUUAUUUCACUUCUGAGUAUGGUCUCUAGUUGCACCCAUUUGCCUAUAAAAGUCUCGAGUUUAUCUUUCUUUAUAGCUGAAACUCUCUUUUUUUGUGUACCUGUUUUUCAGGCAUAAUCACCAUCUUCAUGACCUUCAGGAUUGAAUACUGCCCCAGGUGUCUGAUGCCCUGCAUGAGAAUGAAGCUAUUCUAGAUCAGGAUGCAAGUGCUGCCGAGCGUCAUCCAAUGGAAAAGCAGGCUCGUGGAAACGGUAGUAUAUCCUCACGCACAGGACUGGGCCCGACGCAACCUCUGGCUCUCCCACAAAGUCAAAGUGAUAACGCAAAGUAAACACUUUGAAUCUACUCAAGUCAUCACGGGAGCCCUGGCAGUGCAACUAAAGACAGGAAAGAGGACUUCUAAAGAGUACCUUUUAAAUGUACAUAGAUUUAAAUGUAGAAACCAAACCAUUUCUGUAGUAGAAGAUAUGUUUACGAAUUUUGGUUAAGUAAAUCACAGUAGAGCAAAUACAUAAAAUAUCAACUACAGUGAGGAAGAUCUUUAGGUCUUUAUAUGGAUCUAUCUUCAAGAUGUACUGAUAAGUAAAAAAUAAAAACCAGAAAGGACGGAGUGCAAAGUAUGAGGGGGAAAGAUGAUAACAGAGUACUUAUACUUGCAUGAAAAAGGACAGAAAAGGGGCUGGGACAGUGCUUCUUCCAAGGAAGGAAAAAGUGCAGUUACAAUGCUCCUAUGGAAGGUAGCUUUUCUGUGUAUAUUGUUUUUUUUUUCUUUUUAAUCUUUCAGAUUUGAGUAGAGGGAAUCAAACCCAGGGAUUUAUGCAUACUAACUAGGCAGGUGCUCUACU
This 1440-nucleotide long non-coding RNA is filed under the name Chinchilla lanigera (long-tailed chinchilla). Its description in RNAcentral is "lncRNA (ENSCLAG00000027036.1)". Lineage: Eukaryota; Metazoa; Chordata; Mammalia; Rodentia; Chinchillidae. The record is from RNAcentral.